This 254-nucleotide ribosomal RNA is filed under the name uncultured bacterium. Its description in RNAcentral is "partial 16S ribosomal RNA". It matches the Rfam family "Bacterial small subunit ribosomal RNA", at positions 796 to 1041 of the family's 1533-position model. The record is from RNAcentral.
CACGCCCUAAACUAUGCAUACUAGGUAUUGGCAGUAUCGACCCUGUCAGUGCCGUUUAAAAAAGCUAACGCGUUAAGUAUGCCGCCUGGGGAGUACGGUCGCAAGACUAAAACUCAAAGGAAUAGACGGGGACCCGCACAAGCAGUGGAACAUGUGGUUUAAUUCGAUGGUAAACGGGGAACCUUACCUGGGCUCAACUACUAGCUGCAAUCUCGCAGAAACGCGGGAUGCCUUCGAGGGUGCUAGAUAGGUGC